AUACAGAGGGUGCAAGCGUUAAUCGGAAUUACUGGGCGUAAAGGGUGCGUAGGCGGCUUGAUAAGUCGGAUGUGAAAGCCCCGGGCUUAACCUGGGAAUUGCAUUCGAUACUGUCAGGCUAGAGUAUGUCAGAGGUUGGCGGAAUUCCUGGUGUAGCGGUGAAAUGCGUAGAUAUCAGGAGGAACACCAGUGGCGAAGGCGGCUAACUGGGGCAAUACUGACGCUGAGGCACGAAAGCGUGGGGAGCAAACAGGAUUAGAAACCCUAGUAGUCC
This 274-nucleotide ribosomal RNA is filed under the name uncultured bacterium. RNAcentral's name for it is "partial 16S ribosomal RNA". It matches the Rfam family "Bacterial small subunit ribosomal RNA", at positions 523 to 796 of the family's 1533-position model. The record is from RNAcentral.